Molecule: ribosomal RNA, 425 nt
Filed under: uncultured bacterium
Lineage: Bacteria
Description: bacterial SSU rRNA
Rfam family: Bacterial small subunit ribosomal RNA
Source: RNAcentral
GAAUAUUGGACAAUGGAGGCAACUCUGAUCCAGCCAUUCCGCGUGCAGGAUGAAGGCCCUCGGGUUGUAAACUGCUUUUGUACGGAACGAAAAAGCCCUCUCUAAUACAGAGGGUCCAUGACGGUACCGUAAGAAUAAGCCCCGGCCAACUACGUGCCAGCAGCCGCGGUAAUACGUAGGGUGCAAGCGUUAAUCGGAAUUACUGGGCGUAAAGCGUGCGCAGGCGGUGAUGUAAGACAGGUGUGAAAUCCCCGGGCUUAACCGGGGAACUGCAUUUGUGACUGCAUCGCUGGAGUGCGGCAGAGGGGGAUGGAAUUCCGCGUGUAGCAGUGAAAUGCGUAGAUAUGCGGAGGAACACCGAUGGCGAAGGCAAUCCCCUGGGCCUGCACUGACGCUCAUGCACGAAAGCGUGGGGAGCAAACAGG